CUGGAUCUUAGGAUUUCACUAUAUGAAUUUAGGAGAAAAAACGACUAGAAUGUCUGCCAAAACGUUCAAGUUUACCGAAAGAGAAGCACUAUUAGAACACUAAUGAGAGCUCAUGACGCAGUCAUCCUUUUGGAUUUCUGUUUUAAGUAUGUGCGGACCUUCACCUUUGAUCUCCUACCCUGCAUCACCUGGAUAUGGAUAUAAUGGCAGAAACUCCAGCAGCCCUCUUGGACCUUGAGAUAAUUUUGGGAAAAAAGCCAC
Molecule: long non-coding RNA, 261 nt
Organism: Tupaia belangeri chinensis (Chinese tree shrew)
Lineage: Eukaryota; Metazoa; Chordata; Mammalia; Scandentia; Tupaiidae
Exons: 3
Source: RefSeq, a predicted model, not a curated record